Molecule: ribosomal RNA, 853 nt
Filed under: Lactiplantibacillus plantarum
Lineage: Bacteria; Bacillati; Bacillota; Bacilli; Lactobacillales; Lactobacillaceae
Description: bacterial SSU rRNA
Rfam family: Bacterial small subunit ribosomal RNA
Source: RNAcentral
GUGCUUGCAUCGAGAUUUACAUUUGAGUGAGUGGCGAACUGGUGAGUAACACGUGGGAAACCUGCCCAGAAGCGGGGGAUAACACCUGGAAACAGAUGCUAAUACCGCAUAACAACUUGGACCGCAGGGUCCGAGUUUGAAAGAUGGCUUCGGCUAUCACUUUUGGAUGGUCCCGCGGCGUAUUAGCUAGAUGGUGGGGUAACGGCUCACCAUGGCAAUGAUACGUAGCCAACCUGAGAGGGUAAUCGGCCACAUUGGGACUGAGACACGGCCCAAACUCCUACGGGAGGCAGCAGUAGGGAAUCUUCCACAAUGGACGAAAGUCUGAUGGAGCAACGCCGCGUGAGUGAAGAAGGGUUUCGGCUCGUAAAACUCUGUUGUUAAAGAAGAACAUAUCUGAGAGUAACUGUUCAGGUAUUGACGGUAUUUAACCAGAAAGCCACGGCUAACUACGUGCCAGCAGCCGCGGUAAUACGUAGGUGGCAAGCGUUGUCCGGAUUUAUUGGGCGUAAAGCGAGCGCAGGCGGUUUUUUAAGUCUGAUGUGAAAGCCUUCGGCUCAACCGAAGAAGUGCAUCGGAAACUGGGAAACUUGAGUGCAGAAAAGGACAGUGGAACUCCAUGUGUAGCGGUGAAAUGCGUAGAUAUAUGGAAGAACACCAGUGGCGAAGGCGGCUGUCUGGUCUGUAACUGACGCUAAGGCUCGAAAGUAUGGGUAGCAAACAGGAUUAGAUACCCUGGUAGUCCAUACCGUAAACGAUGAAUGCUAAGUGUUGGAGGGUUUCCGCCCUUCAGUGCUGCAGCUAACGCAUUAAGCAUUCCGCCUGGGGAGUACGACCGCAAGGCUGAAACGGG